RNAcentral lists this ribosomal RNA (420 nucleotides) under Fusobacteriota bacterium. Its description in RNAcentral is "Fusobacteria bacterium partial 16S ribosomal RNA". It matches the Rfam family "Bacterial small subunit ribosomal RNA", at positions 355 to 776 of the family's 1533-position model. Lineage: Bacteria; Fusobacteriati; Fusobacteriota. The record is from RNAcentral.
UGGGGGAUAUUGCACAAUGGGCGAAAGCCUGAUGCAGCGACGCCGCGUGGGGGGUGAAGGCCUUCGGGUUGUAAACUUCUUUUGUUCUGAACAAGGCAUGCCUUUGGGGUGUGUUGAGUGUAGGGGUUGAUUAGCGCCGGCUAACUACGUGCCAGCAGCCGCUGUAAUACGUAGGGCGCGAGCGUUGUCCGGAAUUAUUGGGCGUAAAGGGCUUGUAGGUGGCUGGUUGCGUCUGUCGUGAAAGCUCAUGGCUUAACUGUGGGUUUGCGGUGGGUACGGGCUGGUUUGAGUGCAGUAGGAGAGGCUGGAAUUCCUGGUGUAGCGGUGGAAUACGCAGAUCUCAGGAGGAAUACCGGUGGCGAAGGCGGGUCUCUGGGCUGUUACUGACGCUGAGGAGCGAAAGCGUGGGGAGCGAACAGG